UUGGAGAGACGACUUUGAAGUUGAACGUUCUAUGUCGUUUGGCAGUAUACUCACUAGUGUUGAGUGACGACAUCCCAGCAUCGACCGAUACCUCUUGAAGAUUCUGAAAACUCUCGACAUGCAUCAAGUGUCGAUACAUCGAUUAACACCCUUCUGAACUUUCUGCAAAUCAGACACACGCUGCAAGUGUCAGUCGACAGUCCAUGAACAUCGAUCAACGCCA
This 223-nucleotide long non-coding RNA is filed under the name Brassica rapa (field mustard). RNAcentral's name for it is "long non-coding RNA (BRAP_LNC000398)". The record is from RNAcentral. Lineage: Eukaryota; Viridiplantae; Streptophyta; Magnoliopsida; Brassicales; Brassicaceae.